RNAcentral lists this ribosomal RNA (406 nucleotides) under uncultured bacterium. RNAcentral's name for it is "partial 16S ribosomal RNA". It matches the Rfam family "Bacterial small subunit ribosomal RNA", at positions 29 to 526 of the family's 1533-position model. The record is from RNAcentral.
AUUGAACGCUGGCGGCAGGCCUAACACAUGCAAGUCGAACGAGUGGCGGACGGGUGAGUAAUGUCUGGGAAACUGCCUGGUGGAGGGGGAUAACUACUGGAAACGGUAGCUAAUACCGCAUACCAUCAGCUGUGCCCAGAUGGGAUUAGCUUGUUGGUGGGGUAACGGCUCACCAAGGCGACGAUCCCUAGCUGGUCUGGGAGGAUGACAGGCCACAUGGGAGCGGAAACACGGUCCAGACUCCUGAGGGAGGCAGCAGUGGGGAAUAGUGCACAAUGGGCGCAAGCCUGAUGCAGCGAUGCCGCGUGUAUGAAGAAGGCCUUCGGGUUGUAAAGUACGUUCAGCGGGGAGGCGUUACCCGCAGAAGAAGCACCGGCUAACUCCGUGCCAGCAGCCGCGGUAAUUC